This 1032-nucleotide long non-coding RNA is filed under the name Cyanistes caeruleus (blue tit). RNAcentral describes it as "lncRNA (ENSCCEG00000009478.1)". Lineage: Eukaryota; Metazoa; Chordata; Aves; Passeriformes; Paridae. The record is from RNAcentral.
GGGAGAUGGAGCCCAGGGAGAUGGAGCCCAGGGGAGAUGGAGCCCCGGGAGAUGGAGCUCUGGGAGAAGGAGCCCCGGGAGAUGGAACCCAGCAGAGAUGGAGCCCCGAAGAAGGAGCCCCGAAGAUGCAGCCCCCGAAGCAGCAGCCCUGCGGCAGGCUGGGGCCCGUAGCACUGGCAGGAGCCGCUUGGUGUCACUCGCCCACCGGGAGAGCCGCGGGAGCCAAGGGAGCCGGGCCCGCUGGGCGGCCGUGGCCAGCAGCGCCGGGGGAACGGGCACGGCUCCUCCGCAAGGAUUCACACGGUUCCGAGCCGUUCCGUGCUGGGAACGGGCACGGCUCCUCCGCAAGGAUUCACACCGCUCCGAGCCGUUCCGUGCUGGGAACGGGCACGGCUCCUCCGCAAGGAUUCACACCGUUCCGAGCCGUUCCGUGCUGGGAACGGGUGCUGUGCCAGUUCACACCGUUCCGAGCCGUUCCGCGCUGGGAACGGGUGCUGUGCCAGUUCACACCGCUCCGAGCCGUUCCGUGCUGGGAACGGGUGCUGUUCCACCGGCACACUAUUGCAGUCUGAAGUGCUUCUGCAGGGAAAGUUGGCCCUGGCAUAGUCUGGCUUGGGUUGAAGGUCUGCUUUCAUUUCCAGUCCUGCCUUGCAAUGGAAAAAGGCAGAUACAGCAUCCCUGAGUCUGGAGUCGCCUUCACCUGCGCUUCCCAGGGCUGCAGAACGGAAAAGCGACCCCGGUGCCUCUGAGGGGCAGCACUGGAGGCUCUCCCUCCCCACACGAGAGUGCCUCAGCAGGAUGGACACCAGGGCCCUUCCUCUCUCCUGGAAGAUGAAGAUCUGGAGGGAGCCUGUUCCACGCCUCUGGGGACUCAGCCAUCUGUAGAUUCUUACCUUCUCCUUCCCUGCUCACUUAUGACUCUCACUGGAACCAGAUUUAAUGCUACACUGCUUAGAAAGCAUGAAGAGUCAAGGCCUCCUGGUUUAUUUUGUCUUUGGAAUAAAGGGUUACAAUGUUUGGAGAUUUCCUUCA